GGAAUCUGCCUAUUAGUGGGGGACAACAUUUCGAAAGGGAUGCUAAUACCGCAUACGUCUACGGGAGAAAGCAGGGGAUCUUCGGACCUUGCGCUAAUAGAUGAGCCUAAGUCGGAUUAGCUAGUUGGUGGGGUAAAGGCCUACCAAGGCGACGAUCUGUAGCGGGUCUGAGAGGAUGAUCCGCCACACUGGGACUGAGACACGGCCCAGACUCCUACGGGAGGCAGCAGUGGGGAAUAUUGGACAAUGGGGGGAACCCUGAUCCAGCCAUGCCGCGUGUGUGAAGAAGGCCUUUUGGUUGUAAAGCACUUUAAGCGAGGAGGAGGCUACUUUGGUUAAUACCUAGAGAUAGUGGACGUUACUCGCAGAAUAAGCACCGGCUAACUCUGUGCCAGCAGCCGCGGUAAUACAGAGGGUGCGAGCGUUAAUCGGAUUUACUGGGCGUAAAGCGUGCGUAGGCGGCUUUUUAAGUCGGAUGUGAAAUCCCCGAGCUUAACUUGGGAAUUGCAUUCGAUACUGGGAAGCUAGAGUAUGGGAGAGGAUGGUAGAAUUCCAGGUGUAGCGGUGAAAUGCGUAGAGAUCUGGAGGAAUACCGAUGGCGAAGGCAGCCAUCUGGCCUAAUACUGACGCUGAGGCACGAAAGCAUGGGGAGCAAACAGGAUUAGAUACCCUGGUAGUCCAUGCCGUAAACGAUGUCUACUAGCCGUUGGGG
This 712-nucleotide ribosomal RNA is filed under the name Acinetobacter haemolyticus. RNAcentral describes it as "bacterial SSU rRNA". It matches the Rfam family "Bacterial small subunit ribosomal RNA", at positions 121 to 828 of the family's 1533-position model. Lineage: Bacteria; Pseudomonadati; Pseudomonadota; Gammaproteobacteria; Moraxellales; Moraxellaceae. The record is from RNAcentral.